UUGCUAUCUCCAUCUUAUUCAAAGCAGUCAGGACUGGGAAAUGAAAUUAUCCUAGACAGAAGAAACACCAACCAGAAGAAACUUCAGUUGUUAGGGCCUGAA
This is a long non-coding RNA of Oxyura jamaicensis (ruddy duck), 102 nucleotides long. RefSeq lists it as uncharacterized. The transcript is spliced from 2 exons. NCBI's taxonomy places the organism in Eukaryota, Metazoa, Chordata, Aves, Anseriformes, Anatidae. The record is from RefSeq and is a predicted model, not a curated record.